AAGGCUUUAGCUUAAUUAAAGUGUCUGAGUUGCAUUCAUAAUAUAUGGGUUAAAAUCCCGUAAGCCUUA
Molecule: transfer RNA, 69 nt
Filed under: Halosaurus guentheri
Lineage: Eukaryota; Metazoa; Chordata; Actinopteri; Notacanthiformes; Halosauridae
Also listed under: 1 other name
Description: tRNA-Ala
Rfam family: tRNA
About the family: Transfer RNA (tRNA) molecules are approximately 80 nucleotides in length. Their secondary structure includes four short double-helical elements and three loops (D, anti-codon, and T loops). Further hydrogen bonds mediate the characteristic L-shaped molecular structure. tRNAs have two regions of fundamental functional importance: the anti-codon, which is responsible for specific mRNA codon recognition, and the 3' end, to which the tRNAs corresponding amino acid is attached (by aminoacyl-tRNA synthetases). tRNAs cope with the degeneracy of the genetic code in two manners: having more than one tRNA (with a specific anti-codon) for a particular amino acid; and 'wobble' base-pairing, i.e. permitting non-standard base-pairing at the 3rd anti-codon position.
Source: RNAcentral